Molecule: ribosomal RNA, 913 nt
Filed under: uncultured phototrophic eukaryote
Lineage: Eukaryota
Description: bacterial SSU rRNA
Rfam family: Bacterial small subunit ribosomal RNA (bases 1-771)
Source: RNAcentral
GGAUAACGCUGGCGAGAUGCUUACACAUGUCAAAGUCGUGACGAGAAUUUUCUAAUUCAAUGUGGCGGACGGGUGAGUACAGUAAGAAUUUGCCUUUAGGAGGGGGACAACAACUGGAAACGGUUGCUAAUACCCCAUAUGCUUUCGAGUGAAAUGGAUUUUUCCGCCUACGAGAGAAGCUUGCGGCUGAUUAGCUUGUUGGUGAGGUAAUGGCUUACCAAGGCGACGAUCAGUAUCUGGUUUGAGAGGACUGAUCAGACACACUGGAACUGAGACACGGUCCAGACUCCUACGGGAGGCAGCAGUGGGGAAUUUUCCGCAAUGGGCGAAAGCCUGACGGAGCGAUCUCGCGUGAGUGGAUGACAGGCCUAUGGGUUGUAAACCUCUUUUUUCAGGGAGGAAUAAAAUGACGUGUACCUGAAGAAUAAGCAUCGGCUAACUCCGUGCCAGCAGCCGCCGGUAAGACCGAGGAUGCAACGUGUUAUCCGGAAUCACUGGGCGUAAAGCGUCUGUAGGUGGUUUACUCAAAUCAACCUGUUUAAAUCUUGAAGCUCACACUUCCAAAAUCGCAGUCGAACACUAUUAGACUAGAGUAUCAGACAGGGGUAAAGGGACUUUCCCAGUGGGAGACGGUGACAUGCGUAGAGAUUGGAAAAGAACACCGAUUGGCCAAGGCCCUUUUACUGGGGGCUCAAUUCACUGGACCCACUCCAGAGAAACAAAAACGCUCAGGGGUUCGCCAACAAUGGGGGAUUUAAGAUCACCCCCAGAAGUCCUUAAGACGUUAGACAACUUGGGUUAUAAUUGUUGCAACCAGAUCGAACCUGUGCAGAUAUUAAAAGCUUAAACGACGUUAAGACCUCCCCGCCUCGCGCAACGUAUGUCGACGAGAGUCCAACCUCAAAGAGAUUGA